This 158-nucleotide ribosomal RNA is filed under the name Trishoplita collinsoni collinsoni. RNAcentral's name for it is "5.8S rRNA". It matches the Rfam family "5.8S ribosomal RNA". Rfam says of the family: 5.8S ribosomal RNA (5.8S rRNA) is a component of the large subunit of the eukaryotic ribosome. It is transcribed by RNA polymerase I as part of the 45S precursor that also contains 18S and 28S rRNA. Lineage: Eukaryota; Metazoa; Mollusca; Gastropoda; Stylommatophora; Camaenidae. The record is from RNAcentral.
UAACUUUGAGCGGUGGAUCACUCGGCUCGUGCGUCGAUGAAGAGCGGCAGCCAGCUGCGUGAAUUAAUGUGAAUUGCAGAACACAUUGAACAUCGACAUCUUGAACGCACAUGGCGGCCUCGGGUCCGUCCCGAGGCCACGCCCGUCUGAGGGUCGGC